This 1480-nucleotide ribosomal RNA is filed under the name Ptereleotris carinata (Panamic dartfish). RNAcentral describes it as "partial 16S ribosomal RNA". It matches the Rfam family "Bacterial large subunit ribosomal RNA", at positions 22 to 2574 of the family's 2925-position model. The record is from RNAcentral. Lineage: Eukaryota; Metazoa; Chordata; Actinopteri; Gobiiformes; Gobiidae.
ACCCCAACAGCUAGUCCACUAACAAAGCCUAAACAAACAACAUUAAUACCCCCGCAAACACCACCUAGCACAUGAUUAAACCAUUCUGCCCCCUGAGUAUAGGAGAUAGAAAAGGACAUUUGACACGACAGAAAAAGUACCGCAAGGGAAAGCUGAAAGAGAGUUGAAAAAGCGCAGUAAAGGUAAUAGAAGCAGAGACUAAAUCUUGUACCUUUUGCAUCAUGAUUUAGCCAGUAACCCUCAGGCGAAAAGACUUUUAUGUUUGAGCCCCCGAAACUAAGCGAGCUACUCCAAGACAGCCUAUUAUAGGGCAAACCCGUCUCUGUGGCAAAAGAGUGGGAAGAGCUUUGAGUAGAGGUGACAGACCUACCGAGCCUAGUGAUAGCUGGUUUCCUGAAAACCGAAUAGAAGUUCAGCCUUUUGACUUUUCCGACCAAAGAAGGUCUCACCUCCUCCCGGCCCCGAGAACAUCAAGAGAGUAAUUCAAGAGAGGUACAGCUCUCUUGAACAAAGACACAACUUUUAGUAGAAGGUUAAAGAUCAUAACAACUGAAGGUGUAGUACCCAAGUGGGCCUAAAAGCAGCCACCCUUAUAGAAAGCGUUAAAGCUCAAGUACUAUCCCCCCAAUAAUCCCGACGACAUAAUCUAACACCCCUUCACUUAUCAGGACAUCCCAUGCUCCCAUGGGAAAGAUACUGCUAACAUGAGUAAUAAGAGAGCUACGACUCUCUCGCAUGCACCCGUGUAAAUCAGAACGAACCCCUCACUGAAAAUUAACGCCCCCAAUAUCGCAGAGGAAAUUGAGUUAAACUAGCUAAAUCUAGAAAACCCCUCAACUAACAGCGUUGACCCUACACAGGGGUGCCCCCCGAAAGACAUAAAGAGAAAGAAGGAACUCGGCAAACCAUGGCCUCGCCUGUUUACCAAAAACACCGCCUCUUGCCCCCACAAUAUAAGAGGUCCCGCCUGCCCUGUGACGAAAGUUUAACGGCCGCGGUAUUUUGACCGUGCGAAGGUAGCGUAAUCACUUGUCUUUUAAAUAGAGACCUGUAUGAAUGGCAUAACGAGGGCUAAGCUGUCUCCUUUCUCCAGUCAAUGAAAUUGAUCUGCCCGUGCAGAAGCGGGCAUACACCCAUAAGACGAGAAGACCCUAUGGAGCUUCAGACACCAGAGCAGAUCACGUUAAAACCCCCUCUGCCACCAGGAAUAAACCAAGUGAGUUCUGCCCCCAUGUCUUUGGUUGGGGCGACCGCGGAGUAAUAUAAAACCCCCACGUGGAAGGGGUACCCCCCUAAAGUCAGAGCCACAGCUCUAGCGAACAGAAUUUCUGACCAUAAAGAUCCGGCACCGCCGAUCAACGGACCCAGUUACCCUAGGGAUAACAGCGCAAUCCCCUUCUAGAGCCCAUAUCGACAAGGGGGUUUACGACCUCGAUGUUGGAUCAGGACUUCCUAAUGGUGCAGCCGCUAUUAAGGGUUC